Pan troglodytes (chimpanzee) is the source of this 820-nucleotide long non-coding RNA. RefSeq lists it as uncharacterized. The record is from RefSeq and is a predicted model, not a curated record. NCBI's taxonomy places the organism in Eukaryota, Metazoa, Chordata, Mammalia, Primates, Hominidae. The transcript is spliced from 5 exons.
GUCUUGCUAUGUUGCCCAGGCUGGUCUGGAACUCUGAGCUCAAACAGUCCUCCUACCUCAGCCUCUCAAAGUGCUGGGAUUACAGGAUUUAGAAAGAAUGAAAAACUAUGCUGCUGAUGCUGUCAGCUUCCCAGAAUCCUCUCCCAAGUUAAUUCAAUUAGACAUGCUCACUGUCUGUCACCCAGGCUGGAGUGCAGUGGUGCAAGAUCAUAGCUCAUUGCAGCCUCGAACUCCUGGACUCAGGCAAUCCUCCUGCCUCAGCUUCCUGUGUGCAAUGAGUCUUCAAUCACCUGCCCAGAAGAGACAUGUAUCACUUCCGCUCACAUUGCAUUGGCUAAAUGUGUCCUCAAACAAAAGAUGGCCAUGUCAGAAUACCACAAAGGCUUGUGGACUGUGCCGCUGCUGAUGUUGGAAGAAGACGUUUCUUUGGCAAGCAAGGAGGAUUUGAGCAGAGGAACGACUUAGGCUGUACAGGAAGCAUGCCUGGGAAGCCCUCAGGAAACUUACAAUCAUGGCAAAAGCAGGAAGAAGAAAGCGAAAUGAAAGGUGCCACACACUUUUAAACAACCAGAUCUCAGGAGGACUCGCUAUUAUGAGAACAGCAAGGGAGAAAUCCGCCCCCAUGAUCCCAUCACCUCCUACCAGGCCUCUCCUCCAACAAUGGGGAUUACAAUUCAUUAUGGAGGAGGACACAAAUCCAAACCAUAUUACCAGGCUAGGCUGGAUUUUCCUUUCUUAUUCUGGCAUAGCGCCAUGUUCUUUUUUUUCAAAUUAAAAAAAUGACAUGAUUUAUAAGUUCGCAAUUAUUUGUGUGUUUGCU